AUGACAAACACAAAGGGAAAGAGGAGAGGCUCCUGGUAGAUGUCUUCUAGGCCUUUUAGGAAGCAUGGAGUUGUUCCCUUUGGUCACGUAUAUGUGAAUCUAUAAGAAAGAUGAUAUUGUAGACAUUAAAGGAGUGGGCACUGUUCAAGAAGGAAUGCCCCACAAGUGUUAUCAUGGCAGAACUGGAAGAGUCUACAGUGUUACGCAGCAGGCCGUCGGCAUUGUUGUAAACACACAAGUUAAGGGCAAGUUCUUGCCAAGAGAAUUCAUGUGGGUAUUGAGCACUUUAAGCGCUCUGAGAGCUGAGCUAGCUUCCUGAAACUUGUGAAGGAAAAUGAUCAGAAAAAGAAGGAAGCCAAAGAGAAAGGUACCUGGAUUCAGCAGAAGUGCCAGUCUGCUCUGCCCAGAGAAGCGCACUGUGUGAGAACAAAUGGGA
Molecule: long non-coding RNA, 436 nt
Filed under: Homo sapiens (human)
Lineage: Eukaryota; Metazoa; Chordata; Mammalia; Primates; Hominidae
Description: non-protein coding lnc-ZNF485-5:1
Source: RNAcentral